This 253-nucleotide ribosomal RNA is filed under the name uncultured bacterium. RNAcentral's name for it is "partial 16S ribosomal RNA". It matches the Rfam family "Bacterial small subunit ribosomal RNA", at positions 524 to 776 of the family's 1533-position model. The record is from RNAcentral.
UACGGAGGGGACUAGCGUUGUUCGGAAUUACUGGGCGUAAAGCGCACGUAGGCGGAUUUGUAAGUCAGGGGUGAAAUCCCGGGGCUCAACCUCGGAACUGCCUUUGAUACUGCAAAUCUCGAGUCUGGAAGAGGUGAGUGGAAUUCCUAGUGUAGAGGUGAAAUUCGUAGAUAUUAGGAAGAACACCAGUGGCGAAGGCGGCUCACUGGUCCGGUACUGACGCUGAGGUGCGAAAGCGUGGGGAGCAAACAGG